AACGCACAUUGCGCCCCUUGGUAUUCCACAGGGCAUGCCUGUUUGAGCGUCAUUUCUCCCUCAAACCUCUGGUUUGGCGUUGAGUGAUACUCGGUUUACUUGAAAAACAUGAAAAGCAUAACUAUUAGGUUUUACCAACUCGUUAUACUAAUCUACAAGUUUGACCUCAAAUCAGGUAGGACUACCCGCUGAACUUAA
RNAcentral lists this unclassified non-coding RNA (198 nucleotides) under uncultured Candida. Its description in RNAcentral is "sequence contains ITS2". Lineage: Eukaryota; Fungi; Ascomycota; Saccharomycetes; Saccharomycetales. The record is from RNAcentral.